This 319-nucleotide ribosomal RNA is filed under the name uncultured Pseudomonadota bacterium. Its description in RNAcentral is "bacterial SSU rRNA". It matches the Rfam family "Bacterial small subunit ribosomal RNA", at positions 30 to 351 of the family's 1533-position model. The record is from RNAcentral. Lineage: Bacteria; Pseudomonadati; Pseudomonadota.
AUUGAACGCUGGCGGCAUGCCUUACACAUGCAAGUCGAACGGUAACGGGCCUUCGGGUGCCGACGAGUGGCGAACGGGUGAGUAAUAUAUCGGAACGUACCUUUCAGUGGGGGAUAACGUAGCGAAAGUUACGCUAAUACCGCAUAUUCUGUGCGCAGGAAAGCAGGGGACCUUCGGGCCUUGCGCUGAUUGAGCGGCCGAUAUCAGAUUAGCUAGUUGGUGAGGUAAAGGCUCACCAAGGCGACGAUCUGUAGCGGGUCUGAGAGGAUGAUCCGCCACACUGGAACUGAGACACGGUCCAGACUCCUACGGGUGGCAG